Gorilla gorilla gorilla (western lowland gorilla) is the source of this 2107-nucleotide long non-coding RNA. RefSeq lists it as uncharacterized. The transcript has 4 exons. NCBI's taxonomy places the organism in Eukaryota, Metazoa, Chordata, Mammalia, Primates, Hominidae. The record is from RefSeq and is a predicted model, not a curated record.
GCGUGCGCAGGAACGUGGAAAGUUCCAGGACACGGAACCGUUGGGACGGAGGACCUGAAGGUGGAGUGAGUGGACUCAUCCUGAAUUCUUUCUUGCACGAGAUCCAAGAAUUCUCCCUUGGAAUCUGGAUUGGACCCCUUUCCUGUAACAGAAUUACAGUUUUUGAGAUGGAGUUUCACUCUUCUUGCCCAGGCUGGAGUGCAAUGGUGCAAUCUCGGCUCACCGCAACCUCUGCCUCUCAGGUUCAAGCAAUUCUCCUGCCUCAGCCUCCCGAGUAGCUGGAAUUACAGGGAUGGGGUUUCGCCAUGUUGCCCAGGCUGGUCUCAAACUCCUGGCUCAAGCAAUCUGCUUGCCUUGGCCUCCAAAAGUGCUGGAAUUACAUGCCUGAGCCACCGUGCUCAGCCUAGAAGUUCAACAAAGAGACAUAAAUCUUUAAAAAUAACCAAACAGAAAAUUUGGAGCUAAAUAAUGCAAUGAAUGAAAUGAAGAAUGCAAUAGAGAGCUUCAACAGUAGACUCGACCAAACAGAAGAAAGAAUCUGUGAACUUGAAGACAGGCUAUUUGAAAUUACUCAGUCAAAGAAGAAAAAAGAAAAAAAAUAGUGAAGAAAGCCUACAGAAUUUACUGGACACCAUCAAGUGAAUUAAUAUAUACAUUAUGGGAUUCCCACAAGUAAAAGAGAAAGAGAAAGGAGAAUAAAAUGUAUUUAAAAAAAUAAUGGCUGAAAACUUCCCAAAUUUUGGGAGGGAAAUGGACAUCCAGAUUCAUGAAGCUAAAAGCUCUUCAAGUAAGAUCAACCCAAAGAAGAUUAUACUGAGUCACAUUAUAAUCAAAUUAUCAAAAGAUAAAGACAAAGAGAGAAUUUUGAAAACAGCAGGAGAAAAGUGACUCAUCACAUAUAAGGGAAACUUCUUGAGCCUAUUACCAGACUUCUCAGCAAAAAUUUUGCAGGCCAGGAAAGAAUGGGAUGGUAUAUUCAAAGUGUUUUCAAGAAAAAACUGCCAACUAUGAAUAUUAUGUCUAGAAAAGUUGUCUUUCAUAAAUGAAGGAGAGAUAAAGACUUUCCUAAACAAAAGUUGUGGGAAUUCAUCACCAUUAUAUCUUCCUUACAGGAAAUACUAAAGGAAAAUUUUUAAGUUGAAAUGAAAGGAUGCUAAUUAGUAACAUGAAAACAUAUGAAAGUAUAAAAAUCACUGGUAAAGGUAAGUAUAUAGUCAAAUUCAGAAUACUUUAAUACUAUAAUGGUGGUGCAUAAAUCACUUUUGACUAUAGCAUAAAAGUUAAAAGACAGAAGUAGUAAAAAAAUUAAGCUACAAUAACAUUAUAGAUAUGCAAUAUGAAGAGGUAUAAAUUGGGAUGUCAAUAACAUAAAAUGUGAGGAUGAAAGGAAGUAAAAUAUAGAUUUUUUUUGUAUUGAAGUUAAAUUGUUAUCAGCUUAUAACUAUAAGAUGUCUUAUGUAAGCCUCAUGGUAACCACAUAGAAAAAAUCUCUGGUAGAUACACAAAAGAUAAAAAGGAAGGAAUUACAGCAUACCACAACAAAAAAAUUAUGAAAUCACAGAAGAGACAUCAAGAAAGGAAGGAACAAAGAUACCACAAAACAAACACAAAAUAGUUAACAAAAUGGUGUAUUAAGUCCUUAUCUAUCAAUACUUACUUUAAAUGUAAAUGAAUUAAAGUUUGUAAUGAAAAAAAUAGAGUGCUUGAAAUAGAGUGAUUGAGUGGAUAUAAAAACAAGAUUCAGCAAUAUGCUGCCUCCAAGGAACUCACUCUGGCUUUAAGGACACACAUUAGCUCAAACUGAAAGGAUGGAAAAAGAUAUUUCAUGCAAAUAGCAACCAAAAGAGAGCAGGGGUGGCUAUAGUUAUAGCAGAAAACUUUAAGUCAAAAACUACUGCAAGACACAAAAAAAUGUCAUUAUACAAUGAUAAAGGGAUCAAUUCAUCAGAAGGUAUAACAAUUGUAAAUAUAUAUGCAACCAACAUCAGAGUACCUAAAUAUAUAAAGCAAAUAUUAACAGAACUGAAGGAAGAAAUAUACAGCAAUAUGGUCAUAUUAGGGGACUUUAUUUUCUCCCUUUCAACAAUGGAUAGAUCAUCCAAAAAGA